UACGGGGGGGGCAAGCGUUGUUCGGAAUUACUGGGCGUAAAGGGUGCGUAGGCGGCUCUCUAAGUCGGAUGUGAAAACUCUGGGCUCAACCCAGAGCCUGCAUCCGAAACUGGAGGGCUUGGGUUCUGGAGGGGAAAGCGGAAUUCCUGGUGUAGCGGUGAAAUGCGUAGAUAUCAGGAGGAACACCGGUGGCGAAGGCGGCUUUCUGGACAGAUACCGACGCUGAGGCACGAAAGCUAGGGGAGCAAACAGG
RNAcentral lists this ribosomal RNA (253 nucleotides) under uncultured bacterium. RNAcentral's name for it is "partial 16S ribosomal RNA". It matches the Rfam family "Bacterial small subunit ribosomal RNA", at positions 524 to 776 of the family's 1533-position model. The record is from RNAcentral.